CCUACGGGUGGCAGCAGUGGGGAAUAUUGGGCAAUGGAGGAAACUCUGGACCAGCAACGCCGCGUGAAUGAUGAAGGUCUUCGGAUUGUAAAGUUCUUUUCUCAGGGAAGAAGAAAGUGACGGUACCUUAGGAAUAAGCCUCGGCUAACUACGUGCCAGCAGCCGCGGUAAUACGUAGGGAGCAAGCGUUAUCCGGAAUGACUGGGCGUAAAGGGUGCGUAGGCGGUUUGACAAGUUGGUAGCGUAACACCGAGGCUUAACCUCGGCGCUACGACCAAAACUGUUGGACUCGAGUGCAGGAGGGGCAGAUGGAAUUCCUAGUGUAGCGGUGGAAUGCGUAGAUAUUAGGAGGAACACCAGUGGCGAAGGCGAUUUGCUGGACUGUAACUGACACUGAUGCACGAAAGCGUGGGGAGCAAACAGGAUUAGAUACCCUGGUAGUC
This 443-nucleotide ribosomal RNA is filed under the name uncultured bacterium. RNAcentral's name for it is "partial 16S ribosomal RNA". It matches the Rfam family "Bacterial small subunit ribosomal RNA", at positions 338 to 795 of the family's 1533-position model. The record is from RNAcentral.